GUGGGGAAUAUUGCACAAUGGGCGAAAGCCUGAUGCAGCAACGCCGCGUGAGGGACGACGGCCUUCGGGUUGUAAACCUCUUUUAGCAGGGAAGAAGCGAAAGUGACGGUACCUGCAGAAAAAGCGCCGGCUAACUACGUGCCAGCAGCCGCGGUAAUACGUAGGGCGCAAGCGUUAUCCGGAAUUAUUGGGCGUAAAGAGCUCGUAGGCGGUUUGUCGCGUCUGCUGUGAAAACCCGAGGCUCAACCUCGGGCCUGCAGUGGGUACGGGCAGACUAGAGUGCGGUAGGGGAGAUUGGAAUUCCUGGUGUAGCGGUAGAAUGCGCAGAUAUCAGGAGGAACACCGAUGGCGAAGGCAGAUCUCUGGGCCGUAACUGACGCUGAGGAGCGAAAGGGUGGGGAGCAAACAGGCUUAGAAACCCCGGUAGUCC
RNAcentral lists this ribosomal RNA (430 nucleotides) under uncultured bacterium. RNAcentral describes it as "partial 16S ribosomal RNA". It matches the Rfam family "Bacterial small subunit ribosomal RNA", at positions 354 to 796 of the family's 1533-position model. The record is from RNAcentral.